GGGCGUGUAACUCAGCGGAAGAGUGCCACCCCGACACGGUGGAAGUCACAGGUUCAAAUCCUGUCACGCCCA
Molecule: transfer RNA, 72 nt
Filed under: Bradymonas sediminis
Lineage: Bacteria; Deltaproteobacteria; Bradymonadales; Bradymonadaceae
Rfam family: tRNA
About the family: Transfer RNA (tRNA) molecules are approximately 80 nucleotides in length. Their secondary structure includes four short double-helical elements and three loops (D, anti-codon, and T loops).
Source: Rfam by way of RNAcentral